RNA transcript from Hemibagrus wyckioides, 2522 nucleotides. It is a transcript of the gene named CD27 molecule, with no coding region annotated. The record is from RefSeq and is a predicted model, not a curated record. NCBI's taxonomy places the organism in Eukaryota, Metazoa, Chordata, Actinopteri, Siluriformes, Bagridae. The transcript is spliced from 9 exons.
UUAAACAAAUCAAACAAAUAAAACUCCUUCUCAAAUGGUUAAAUCUGAACCCUUGAUUUGACUUAAAACUGUUUUAUUUGCAUAUGUAAAUUGCAUUAGUGACAAACUCUGAUCAAAGUCGAGGUAACUUCCUUUUUUCUCAUGAAGGCCUGUCAGAGUUUCGAGGAAGCGGGACAUUACAGUAGAUCGAUACUGAUCUAAAAGUUUCCGUGACUGUGGCUGAGUCGAACUUACGGAACACAGAAGAGUUCAUCUUGCUCUCAGACGGAUCCCACAACACACAAAGCUCUGCCGAGGUCAUGAGUCUUGAAGAGUGGCAAUGAGUGUUAAAUAAAAAAAAAAAGUACGGAGAAUAAUCGAGACGUCUUCAGUUACAUCCAGUUACAACUUGACUCAUCAGCCAGAACAUUAAAACCCCUGAGAGAAAUUACUUGGUCUAUCUUGGUCAGGAUUGCGAUGAAACAAGAGCCUAUCCUAGGAACAGUGGACAAGAGAUGUUGAUCUUUUGGUGUGGUUUCCUUCUUUUGACACACUUCUUCUGUCAUGGCCAUCCACUGGAGUGUGACACUACUAAAGCAUACAUAUAUAAAAAAGAUGAUACAAAAUGCUGCAAGAAAUGUGCACCAGGUGAACGUAUGGAGAAGGGAUGUACGAAAGAUUCUGAGACCGUGUGUAAACCAUGUAGUUUUGACUUCUACAUGGAUGAAUUCAGUAGAGAAAUGGAAUGCAAAAGAUGCACUCAAUGCACCAAAGAACACAUGGUGUAUAACGUGACGUGCUCUAAGAGUGUUGAUGCAGUGUGUGGCUGCGAGAGUGGAUAUCAAUGCAGCGAUAAGUCCUGUACAAACUGUGAGAAAAUCCCAACACUGCCACCGACAACAAGAACAACAACGACAACAAUAAAAACAACAACAACAGCAGCAGCAACAAUGAAAUCAGCAGUAAUCUCAACUCCCAAAAACUCUGGGCAACCAUUACCAUUCUCCCAAGAUACUGUGUGGAUCACUCUGAGUCUGUGUUGUGUGUGCAUUCUGCUUACCUGUUUCAUUCUCAUCAGCAGAACCACACCUGCAUAUGGAUGGAUCAUGUUGGCUACAGCUGGUUGUUUUUGGCGGUCCGAGAAAACUUCCAACGAAUCCAGUCAGUGCACAGUGGAUGAGGAAGUGCCAAUGCCAGUCCAGGAAGUGUGUGGACAUAAAGAAUGGCAAGAAGAGGUCUAAGGGUGACAGAGGGAAGCGGCGAGGACAAGGCAGGAAAAGGCACAUAAGAGUGUGGAUUGACUAUUCACUGUAACAAAGUCUUAAGAAAUAGUUCGUGUAGGGAGGAGAAAGAGACACACUCAUCCUGCUGCAAACUAAUGGGAUGCUGAGGAAGAAGGGAAAGAAAAUUCCACUGUAUUGAACAUUUAAACUAAUUAAUGGUCCAAUGAAUCAGGGUCUCAUAUAUAAUAAUAAUAAUAAUAAUAAUAAUAAUAAUAAAUCAUUUAAUAUCACAUUUAAAAAAAAAAGGAGGCACAGAGUUUGAUCUCUUUGUGAAGGCAAUGUGUGUACAUUGUGCCCUGCAUUGGACUGGAGUACUAUCUAAGGUGUAGUCUUACCUCAUGCCCAGUAUUCCCACAAUAGAUUCUGGAUUUAUGGAGAUCGAAGAGGAACAGUUGAUUUUUUUCAUAGUUGUUGAAAAAGUUCAUAGUUGUUGCAUUGAGUUGUUUGUGCUAAUAGAUUGAUUUUUUUAUGUUUUAAUUGUAUUUACAAACAUGAGAACCUCUGAUUUUUUUUCCUUAUUUUGGAAAGCUUACUGUCUACAUUUUUAGUAAUUUUAGGAUUAUUAUUGUUUGUACAGAUAGUUGUUUUUACUAGAUCUAUUUGUGAUUGAUAGAAGUUGGCUGAAACAAAGGAAGUUUAAUUGAAGGUAAAUUAAACACCCUUCUAAUAAUAAUAAUAAUAAUAAGAAGAAGAAGAAGAAGACUUCCACAUAUGUAUCUAUGGCAGCCCACAGAAAACUUUGAACACUUUUGAUCGAAUUUGACACAGUAAUUUUGUUGUACACCACUCUAGCACUCUAAUUUCUCCAAGGAGGUAAAGAUUGAAAUAAGUUUGUAGUAAUAACUCUGCAACCCAGCAUCAUUUCAAUUCCUCUCUCCUCUGAUUCUUUGGGUUAUGCCAAUUUCAGGCUUCUUCUUCAAGUUUAUGCAAAGACGUUUUUAGUGAAGUCCCCAAAACAGAAAUUAAUGGCAUAUUUUGGCAAUGGUGAGAUGUAUUAUGGCCACAGGUUGCACGUGAAAGACCAGGACCCAAGGGACUCCUAGAAGAAUUGUAUAAAGUCGCCUCUAGGGGGUGCUAUAAUUCACAAAUUGAUUUUUUUUAAUGACCAACAGGAAGUUGGUCAAUUUGAUUUUAACUGUUGUUGUUGUUGUUGUUUUUACUUAUUCGCCUUCAUAUUUGUAUAAUCAACACAGAAUUUAUUCAAAGCAAAGCGAGAUCCACCUGAACAAAAAUGUUUGAUAUGCAGGGUGGGCCGCUUGU